This is a long non-coding RNA of Ictalurus punctatus (channel catfish), 1145 nucleotides long. Lineage: Eukaryota; Metazoa; Chordata; Actinopteri; Siluriformes; Ictaluridae. The record is from Ensembl.
GUGUGAUGGUGAAUGUUGGUGUGUGAUGGUGAAUAAUGUUGGUGUGUGAUGGUGAAUGUUGGUGUGUGAUGGAGAAUGUUGGUGUGUGAUGGUGAAUGUCGGUGUGUGAUGGUGAAUGUCGGUGUGUGAUGGAGAAUGUCGGUGUUUGAUGGAGAAUGUCGGUGUGUGAUGGUGAAUGUUGGUGUGUGAUGGUGAAUGUUGGUGUGUGAUGGAGAAUGUUGGUGUGUGUGAUGGUGAAUGUCGGUGUGUGUGAUGGAGAAUGUUGGUGUGUGAUGGUGAAUGUUGGUGUGUGAUGGAGAAUGUUGGUGUGUGAUGGUGAAUGUUGGUGUGUGAUGGAGAAUGUUGGUGUGUGAUGGUGAAUGUCGGUGUGUGAUGGAGAAUGUUGGUGUUUGAUGGAGAAUGUUGGUGUGUGAUGGUGAAUGUUGGUGUGUGAUGGUGAAUGUUGGUGUGUGAUGGUGAAUGUUGGUGUGUGAUGGUGAAUGUUGGUGUGUGAUGGUGAAUGUUGGUGUUUGAUGGUGAAUGUUGGUGUGUGAUGAAGAAUGUUGGUGUGUGAUGGUGAAUGUUGGUGUGUGAUGGUGAAUGUUGGUGUGUGAUGGUGAAUGUUGGUGUGUGUGAUGGUGAAUGUUGGUGUGUGAUGGUGAAUGUUGGUGUUUGAUGGUGAAUGUUGGUGUGUGAUGGUGAAUGUUGGUGUGUGAUGGUGAAUGUUGGUGUUUGAUGGUGAAUGUUGGUGUGUGAUGAAGAAUGUUGGUGUGUGAUGGUGAAUGUUGGUGUGUGAUGGUGAAUGUUGGUGUGUGAUGGUGAAUGUUGGUGUGUGGUGGAGAAUGUUGGUGUGUGAUGGUGAAUGUUGGUGUGUGAUGGUGAAUGUUGGUGUGUGAUGGUGAAUGUUGGUGUGUGGUGGUGAAUGUUGGUGUUUGAUGGAGAAUGUUGGUGUGUGGUUGAGAAUGUUGGUGUUUGAUGGAGAAUGUUGGUGUGUGAUUGAGAAUGUUGGUGUUUGAUGGAGAAUGUUGGUGUGUGGUUGAGAAUGUUGGUGUCUGAUAGUGAAUGUUGGUGUGUGACUCAGAGUGCUAGGGUUGACCGUGAAUGUCAGUGUUCGAUGAAUGUUGUCAUUUGAUGCUAAAUUUUUAUCUUUAAAGGAAAUUUUUGUG